CCGACCUUAGCUCAGUUGGUAGAGCGGAGGACUGUAGUUGAAAGCAGAUGAUCCUUAGGUCGCUGGUUCGAAUCCGGCAGGUCGGA
Molecule: transfer RNA, 86 nt
Filed under: Ipomoea nil (Japanese morning glory)
Lineage: Eukaryota; Viridiplantae; Streptophyta; Magnoliopsida; Solanales; Convolvulaceae
Rfam family: tRNA
About the family: Transfer RNA (tRNA) molecules are approximately 80 nucleotides in length. Their secondary structure includes four short double-helical elements and three loops (D, anti-codon, and T loops).
Source: Rfam by way of RNAcentral